GCUCAUAAACAUAGUGUUGAUCUUUUGUGGUACUCAGAAUUUGCUGUGCUCUGCAGGCCUGGGACGGACGGUUCAUUAGACAACAGAAAGGAAAAGCAGAAAGCAAGAAUAUGAGAAAAUGGUCAUGGGGAAGAGGAGGCUUGAUAUAUCUUCAUAUAAGAUGUAUAGACAUGGCUAACUGGUGAUGCUGUGGGCUUGGUUUUGGACCAGAUCACCUGCCUUUGGCAAUUGGAUUCACUCCUUUUCACCAUUCCCUGGCUCAACUCUUAGUGGAAUUGUUAUGCAACUUCACCUUAGAGGAAGAGUCACUGUAAGGGUAGGUGUGGUGAAGGAUCAUCAUUGAAUUCAUAUCUGAGAUAUUCCAUCUGUAACCACUUCAGCUUCAAUUAACUUCAUCUCCAGUAGGCUUUAAGCACACCUCCCCUUUUCAAUCCCUGAAGGCUG
This is a long non-coding RNA of Onychomys torridus (southern grasshopper mouse), 444 nucleotides long. RefSeq lists it as uncharacterized. Lineage: Eukaryota; Metazoa; Chordata; Mammalia; Rodentia; Cricetidae. The record is from RefSeq and is a predicted model, not a curated record. The transcript has 3 exons.